UCACACUUCAACAGAAACAGGAGAAGCUGAAGGGGGAGGGCUACAUCCAGCCCAGGCUCUGUGGUUACUCCUAGAGGAAGAAUGACCUAACAGAGAUUCAUGGGAGGUGCUGGAUGACUCUGAAAGCACAGCCAUUGUGCUUUUAGACCUGGCCUGAGAGUUCACACAACACAGCAAGUACGCUUGGAUUUGGAUGUGCCCAGCAGAGGUGCCUCACGACAUGGGAGUGGAUAUCUUGUCUUCCAGCUGGCCAAGUCCCCAAGCACAGCUUCCUGAUGUGAGAAACAGCCUGUGCCCUGAGGAACCUGCCCACAGGACAUUCCCUGAGGCCUCGGGAGAUGAGGGCACUCUAUGACGAGGAAGCCUGAUUUGUAGCCAGCUCUGCACAGUGCGAAUCCCAAGGUGCUGGCCUAAGGGCUCCGGGGCUCCUACAGUGGAAACAGUUUUCAGGUGACUAAACUAGAAGAUCGAAGUCACCAGAACCAUUUGGAGAGGCUGCUGAGCCCAUGGCUCCUGCUAGGAAUGGUGUGCACCUUGCAGUUUAUGAGGAGGAGCUGUGCUGUGUUGAGAAACUGCAGCUUGCUGCUGUCAUUAGUGCCAUGGGGAACUUGCUGGAGCCGUUCCUGACCUGUAAAUCCUGAACCAGAAGAUUGGGUAGAGCAUGACACCUCCCCCCCCCCAGGGGUUGGGAACAGAAGUGUUACCACCCACGCCUUCUACAACAGUGGACACACACCUAAGUUCCAGGGAAUCCGACAUCCUCACAGAUGUAGGCAAAAUGCCAACACAUAUGGACUGGAAAUAAAUUUUAAAAAGAGAUAAAAUACCUGUCGAUAUGUUAUCAGAAAGCUCUCAAACCAAGAAGGGGAGAAACCCAGGACCAAAGCACCCAUGAGUUGGCAUCUUGUUACUCCACACGUCCUGUUACAGAGAUGCCAGCGUAUUGAUCUGAAGAAACAAUGCAUUAAGUGGCUGUGGGUAUGCUAAACUUUUGGCCAAGAUACUGAGGGAAGCCAAAGAAAAUGCCAUGAACAGAUUGCCAAGAGAUGUAGGCUGUCUUCGCCGAGAGAGCUUCUACUUCUGAGUCCAGUCUAAGUCAGAACUUUAAGAGUAACAAAUAAGGCGGGUGGUUCAGAGGUCCUGAGUCGCAACCUGGCAGUGGUGGUGCACAGAAACCCUGCCUCAAAAAACAAAAAGAGUAACAAAUUAAUGAUCAGACCUUGGUGGGGGUAGUGUUAUACCAGGGAGAGGAGAUGGCACAGCAGUCAAGAUGCCCACCAGCAAGCCUGAUGACCUGGUGUGAUCCUUGGAACCCGCAUAAAAAUCUCUAUGUGGCAGCACCCAUUAGAAAUCCUGGCAUGCCUACCAAGGUGGAAGGUGGAGACAGAAGAAUCCGCCAGAAUCACAUACUCGGAACUGCAGCAGAAACAAGAUAGAUCCUGCCUCAAAAACAAGGCUGAAGGAGAAUUGGUUGACCUUGACACAAGCGUGUGACACACACACUUAAAAAUACUCUUUUGUUUGUUUUUAAAAGUAAAUGUAUUUAUUACAGGG
Molecule: long non-coding RNA, 1554 nt
Organism: Mus musculus (house mouse)
Lineage: Eukaryota; Metazoa; Chordata; Mammalia; Rodentia; Muridae
Product: predicted gene, 33799
Exons: 5
Source: RefSeq, a predicted model, not a curated record